AGACAAAGAGACCGUGCAGAAGCAGUCGGCCGAGCAUCCAUUAUGGGGCGGGGUUGGGGAGGGGCGGAAGGAGAAGAAAGGGGACUGGGGUUAGAAGACUUUCUGUUGCUUAAACCUCAAACUGCAGUUAAAAUUAUCUAUGUGAGGUUUUUUCCCCCUACCCUUAAUAACAAUUUAUGUUUAGAUUAAAUAUUUAAAGGAAAAUGACUGCCAGCCCCUCCCUCGUAGUAUAUUAAACUCGACUACAUUUUGUUAGGGUUCAACAUCUCUAAUUGCUUUAAACGUAAAGUGGGAGGGAAAAUCGGCAUGAUGCUCGAAAUGGCCUGGGUAUAUGUGAUUUUUUUAAUUUAAAAAAAGAUUUAGCCAUACGGUCAUUCCAAAUGGUUUCUCAGGUUCAACUAACUUAUUUUCAGAGCUUCUUCUGCAGGCACACGCACACCCGAAUAGCUAAACAAAACUGGAAGAUGGAAAGAAUAACCAUAUUAAAUAAAGAAGCGAACAAAUAGUUCUAACAUGGCAAUAAUCAAGAGCAAGUGAACGUAGAGUAGUUAUAAUGGUUUACUAGAGGUAUUCUUUUAUGAGAAGUCUAUGUAACACAUUUUGUAUGGUACAUUGUCCUUUGGAAUGAAUCAUCUUUCCUGAUAGAAAAUUGGGAAAAUACAAGGAGAAAUAAUUGAGCUCAGAAGUUAGUACUACAUGUGUGCAGUUACAUAUCUGAAUUGGACUUUUGUCUGGAAAGUAACAAGCAAAAUAAUAGUAAUAACCAAUACACCAAAUUAAAAAGAAGAAGAGAAUAAUAUAAUGUAAAAAGAAUUUUGCAAUGUCGCCUCCAUCCACAGACAACUGUGAAACAUCAGCUCAAUAAACGCAUUUCCUUUU
Molecule: long non-coding RNA, 879 nt
Filed under: Homo sapiens (human)
Lineage: Eukaryota; Metazoa; Chordata; Mammalia; Primates; Hominidae
Description: HSALNT0368042
Source: RNAcentral